Molecule: ribosomal RNA, 144 nt
Filed under: uncultured Pseudomonadota bacterium
Lineage: Bacteria; Pseudomonadati; Pseudomonadota
Description: uncultured proteobacterium partial 16S ribosomal RNA
Rfam family: Bacterial small subunit ribosomal RNA
Source: RNAcentral
UGAGAGGACGAUCAGCCACAUUGGGACUGAGACACGGCCCAGACUCGUACGGGAGGCAGCAGUGGGGAAUAUUGGACAAUGGGGGCAAGCCUGAUGCAGCCAUACCGCGUGUGUGAAGAAGGCCUUUGGGUUGUAAAGCACUUU